CAGGUCAAAGUUCACGUAUGACUAACGCGUACAACAUUUCUUUGUGUCAGGCCUGUCUGUAUAUUUUUCUUUCCGGAUUAUUUCCGCAUUGUUUUUCGUCACAAGUAACACCAAGUUAGUUUAAACAUACUAACCCAAGCUACAAAAUGGCAGAAUAUUUCAAGGGUGCUGUCUUAUUAUUGGCGACGCUGUUCGUUCUUUAUGGAAUCGCAGACGGCUCUGUUGAAAGUGUGGCGAGAGUGAGGCGCGAUACUCAAGUUAGUAAUACUACAGUUGAUACACAUGACAACGAGACAGUGACACAUGUCCAGAAUGAGGGGUUGAGCACGGGUCUAAUUAUUGGUAUAGCUGUAGCCGUUAUUGUAGUGGUCGCCCUUGUUGCUCUUGUCAUAUUUUUUGUCAUCAGACUCAGAUCCCGAGGUUCUUCAGAAAUGGAACGUGAAGCCAAAAUUCAGAUGACAACAUCCAAAAAUGCUGGCGUCUACGUUGAUUUGGCGACAAACCCUGAUCAAGAAGACAAAGAGAUGAAAGAAACGGAUAAAUUAAAAUCAGCAGAAGAAGCUUAGAUGGCCACGAACAAAAUACAUUUUUAAAGAAAGAAAUCUAGGGGCGUAUUCAAUUAAAUUCUUUAAUGUUGAUAGGGAUGUGCCAAUAACAACCUAUUGCCCUGAAUUAGAAUGUCCAGGGGUUUUCCUAGGCGAAUUGAGCUAAAAAAAUACACCUUGGACUUAGCACUAUUUUUUCGGUCAGAAAUCGGCCAUUUUCCAAAAUGGUGGCCAUUUUCCAAAAUGGUGGCCAUUUUCCAAAAUGGUGGCCAUUUUCCAAAAUGGUGGCCAUUUUCCAAAAUGGUGGCCAUUUUCCAAAAUGGUGGCCAUUUUCCAAAAUGGUGGCCAUUUUCCAAAAUGGUGGCCAUUUUCCAAAAUGGUGGCCAUUUUUCGUUGAAUUUCGAUUUUUUUCGAUUUUUUUCACUAUAUUGUAUAUAUUAGAAACACUUCGAAUAUGCCUUACAUUGUGUCCUUCACUGGGUUUUCGGGUCGACAAAUACGAAUACAAUAUAAUUUUGCUAGGUCAAAAAUUUUGCACAAAAUGAGUUUUUCAGAUCCAUUGACCUAGGAAAAACCCUGCAGGCCAUUUCCAUAUAUUGAAUCCUAUCCCUGUCAAAAUUAUUGUAGAUUUAAAGGGAAAUUGUAAUUUAGGCUGAUUACUUAAGGUUAAAUAGAUUCGUAAAUAUUCUGAAAAUAUAAAGGAAACUCAUACACAAAACCCUUUUAGAAAAUCCCUUGGGUUACUUUGAGUAACAAUUUUGAAGAAUAACCAAACCAUAAGUUGAUCAGCUCCAUUUUGCUAACCUGUAAUGGUGGUGAAAUUUCAUGUCCUUUGGCGAAAGUGAUGGUUAAUAUUCUUUUUUAUAUUUCGAAAUCUAUCUAGCAGAUAUGUUUUUCGAAUGUAAUGAAAUUCAGUCUACAUUUUCCUUGCAAACAGAGAACUUACAACCAUAAAUUCAUCAAUCAAAAUCAAUAAUCAAACAUCAUAAUCAUUUAUCAAAACCACUACCUACAGACUUUCAUCAUUUGAUACAUUGUUGGUGUAGGAGGCAGACGUAUUUUUUCUUGUUUAUUUAUAAACAUUGUCGUCAUAGAAACGUAUUUAUGGCUUAAGUUGACAAAUAUCCAUUCUUUAUUUACAUAUUAUCAUGUUCGACAUUUAAAAUUCUAUCGUAUAAGCUCAUAAAUUUGAGAAUAAACCUACUAAAGUUAAUUAAGUAGCUUGGGGUGUUAAUAACAAUAUCUUAACUAAUACCAUUAGUAACACAAACCUUAUACAAGGCCUGUCAUUAAUAGCAUGGUCCUACUGCACUUACUAAUAUAGUAAUCAAGACCCAGUAAUUAAUAACGUAUAGUAAUAAAGACCCAGUAAUUAAUACCGUAUAGUAAUAAAGACCCAGUAAUUAAUAACGUAUAGUAAUAAAGACCCGGUAAUUAAUAUCCUACAGUUAUACCAGCCCUGUAAUUAAUAGAAAGUAAUAACGAACCAGUAAUUUAUAGCGUAUUAUAAAACGAGUAAUAUGGACAUGUAAUUAAUAGCAUAGCCUAAUACAAAAACAACGUAAUUAAUAUUUUUUCACCGUCAUGACUUGUAUUAUUAGAUAACUGAAUAUAUGCCAUCACCACAAUGUUUUUUGCCGUUUUGGGCUAUUUUCGAAAAUUCUAGGUGUUAAUAAAACAACCGAAUUGUCUGACUACUUUAGAAUCACUUUUCGUGAAAAAAGAAACUGAAAAAAGGGGGUUGUUAAUUCAGACAGAACGAAUGGUAAUGGAUUUAAUUAACUUUAGAAAAUAAACCUAAAACUAUUUACUAUAUUGACGCCCGCUCAUUGUAUUACUUUUAUUUAUAGACUUUACAUCGUUUAAAAUAUUUAGGCUUGUUUUGUUUUGUUUUUCCUUUGGUUGAUUUAUUUAUGUCAUCUUUAAAUAUUCAUAAAUUUUAUAGAUUAUUUUACCUGACAGAUUGAAUAUUUAAAGUAGCCGUGUUGUGACACUAGUUUAGCAUUUAGUUGUAUUGUUUAUCUGAACAACCCGAUAGUUCCGUAUUAAACCACAUUUAAAACCGGAUGUUUCCAUCUGGAAUUUCCAUUUCUCAUUUAGUUGUAUUGUUUAUCUGAACAACCAGAUCGUUCCGUAUUAAACCACAUGCCACCACUUUAAAAACCGGAUGUUUCAAUCUGGAAUUUCCAUUUCCCGUUUUUUUAUCUGAACAUAGCGCUGUGUUGAUGUUCUUUAGUAAUGUCCAAUUCACUGGAUUUCUUUAGAUGAGUAAAAUCAUUAUUUGUUUUAAUUAUUCUGUAUAAUUACCACGAUAGUGUACCUUUAAAUUGUUAGAGCAAAACAAAUGGACCAUAUUAUUUUAUUGCUGAUAAUAACACGUUUUGAAAGCUUGUCUAGACUAGAUUUAAACGAAAUCAACACGUAAAUAUCAGCACAAGUAAAGCCAAUUAGUAAGAAACUUGUUAUACUUGUUUGAACCGGGGCCAAAAAAAAAAACCUCAUUAAGACGGAAAUUAGAAAAUUUUAUUAUUCUCAAAGACGUGAGUUUGAAUUUUUUAAAGUGCAUUUUAAUGUAGAUUUAAUGGGAAGAUGAUUUUAAAUUAUUUAAAUAGGACGAGUUAAAAGCGUACCAUGAAUACGUUGAUGGGUAAAUAUGGAGAAGAUACGUAGACGAUGAGGCAUCCAUAGUUGGUCUUUAGCACAUCUGGUAUCUGGGCUGUUAAUGAUGGGUGUAGAACCGGGGCGUCGUGAUCCCUUAUUUUGCAUAAGGAACAAGAUCACGCCCCCCCCCCC
Molecule: long non-coding RNA, 3338 nt
Organism: Patella vulgata (common limpet)
Lineage: Eukaryota; Metazoa; Mollusca; Gastropoda; Patellidae
Exons: 4
Source: RefSeq, a predicted model, not a curated record